UACGUAGGUGGCAAGCGUUGUUCGGAAUUAUUGGGCGUAAAGGGUGUGUAGGCGGUUUGUUAAGUCUUGCGUGAAAUCUCGGGGCUCAACCCCGAGCGGUCGUGAGAAACUGGCAGGCUAGAGUGCGGGAGAGGAGAGUGGAAUUCCUGGUGUAGCGGUGAAAUGCGCAGAUAUCAGGAAGAACACCCGUGGCGAAGGCGGCUCUCUGGAACGCAACUGACGCUGAGACGCGAAAGCGUGGGGAGCAAACAGG
RNAcentral lists this ribosomal RNA (253 nucleotides) under uncultured bacterium. Its description in RNAcentral is "partial 16S ribosomal RNA". It matches the Rfam family "Bacterial small subunit ribosomal RNA", at positions 524 to 776 of the family's 1533-position model. The record is from RNAcentral.